AGCAGUAGCCGCGGUAAUACGAAGGGGGCUAGCGUUGUUCGGAAUCACUGGGCGUAAAGCGCACGUAGGCGGACUUUUAAGUCAGGGGUGAAAUCCCAAGGCUCAACCUUGGAACUGCCUUUGAUACUGGAAGUCUUGAGUUCGGGAGAGGUGAGUGGAACUGCGAGUGUAGAGGUGAAAUUUGUAGAUAUUCGCAAGAACACCAGUGGCGAAGGCGGCUCACUGGCCCGAUACUGACGCUGAGGUGCGAAAGCGUGGGGAGCAAACAGGAUUAGAUACCCCGGUAGUCCCUGUCUCUUAUAC
Molecule: ribosomal RNA, 303 nt
Filed under: uncultured bacterium
Lineage: Bacteria
Description: partial 16S ribosomal RNA
Rfam family: Bacterial small subunit ribosomal RNA
Source: RNAcentral